AACGCUGGCGGCGUGCUUAACACAUGCAAGUCGAACGAGAAAGUUCUCUUCGGAGAACGAGUAAAGUGGCGCACGGGUGAGUAACGCGUGAAUAAUCUACCCCUGAAUUUGGGAUAACAGUUCGAAAGGGCUGCUAAUACCGGAUAACAUUGUCUUUUUUUACGGAUUAGACAAUCAAAGAGGGCCUCUCCUUGGAAGCUUUUGUUUGGGGAUGAGUUCGCGUCCCAUUAGUUAGUUGGUGAGGUAACGGCUCACCAAGACAUCGAUGGGUAGCUGGUCUGAGAGGAUGAUCAGCCACACUGGAACUGACACACGGUCCAGACUCCUACGGGAGGCAGCAGUGAGGAAUUUUGCGCAAUGGGCGAAAGCCUGACGCAGCAACGCCGCGUGAGUGAUGAAGGCUCUUGGGUCGUAAAGCUCUGUCAAGUGGGAAGAAACCUCUUGGAGUUAAUACCUUCAAGAAUUGACGGUACCACUGAAGGAAGCACCGGCUAACUCCGUG
RNAcentral lists this ribosomal RNA (502 nucleotides) under uncultured bacterium. RNAcentral's name for it is "bacterial SSU rRNA". It matches the Rfam family "Bacterial small subunit ribosomal RNA", at positions 32 to 507 of the family's 1533-position model. The record is from RNAcentral.